RNAcentral lists this non-coding RNA (734 nucleotides) under Dichoptera sp. WW-2021a. The record is from RNAcentral. Lineage: Eukaryota; Metazoa; Arthropoda; Insecta; Hemiptera; Fulgoridae.
AAAAAAGUUUGAUUCUGGCUUUUAUAUUUUUCUUUUAAUUUGUAAUGCAUGUAAAAUUUAAUAAGGUUUUAAUUUUCUUAAUGAUUAGUUUUUAUUUUCAGUGUUUGUGAUUUUUAUUUUGUUGAUGCAAUUAAAGCUAUUUUAAAUUUUGAGCUAAAAAAUGUUGUGCCAGCAUUUGCGGUUAUUCAUCAAGCUCUAGAAAAUUUUUAUUGGAUUUCAGAUUUAUUAAUUUUAUAUUUAUUCUAUUUGGGUGAAAUUUAUAUUUUAAUUUUUUAUUUUUUGUUUCUGAGUAAAUUUUUUUAUAAACCAGGAUUAGAUACCCUGUUAUUUUAAAUAAGGUUUUUUCAUCCAGGGUAGUAAAUUUAAAAUUGAAAUUUAAUGGAUCUGGCGGUUUUUAAAUCUUUUUAGAGGAACCUGUAAUUUAAAUGAUAAUCCACGAUUUUUUAUACCUUUUUUUUCUUGUAUAUCUCUGUCGUUGAGUGUAAAGAUAUUUAAUUUUCUAUUUCAGUUGUUAUGAAUUAUGUUAGGUCAAGAUGCAGUUAUAAAAAGGUUAUUAUGGGUUACUUUAAUUUUUGUUUUUGGAUGAUUUAUUUUGAUUAAAUUUUGAAAUUGGAUUUAAUAGUAAUUUUAUUUUUUAGAUAUUUUGAAUUUGGCUCUUAAUUAUGUACAUAUCGCCCGUCACUCUCAAACAUUGAGAUAAGUCGUAACAAAGUAGGUGUACUGGAAAGUGUACC